Non-coding RNA from Vicia faba (fava bean), 195 nucleotides. NCBI's taxonomy places the organism in Eukaryota, Viridiplantae, Streptophyta, Magnoliopsida, Fabales, Fabaceae. The record is from the annotation of a GenBank genome assembly.
AUGUUCUUCCUUUAUCCCCAUGGUUGUCUAUUUUUCCACUUGAGUACUAGAUGUAUUCUCAAAUCCUUCCUCAUGUUGGUACAUAGUCCUCCUUUCUCAUACUUUGUGGGCGAUUAUACGAGUCUUCUCAUUAAAAAUAGAAACUUGUCUCUUCAUUUAAAAUCAAUUAACAAACCAAGUUUUGUUAUUUUCUAG